CGAAAUAUUGGUAAAAGCUUUACAACUGAAAAAAAUCCAGGGCAUAGCUCUAUACUUCCUCUAACUGUGUAUGAAAACCAAUUUUGAAAAUAUUGCUUAGUCAUUUAAUAAAAAAAUCAAAAACUAAAAAAAUGAGAAAAUGCGUCCAGUUUCGCCUUAAUUAACCCUAGUAGGAUGUUGAGGUCAAUAUGACCCAGACAGGCACGCUGAACGUACACUACGCCAUCGUGGUACAAAAAACCCAACAUCUUAGUUAAAUAUUAAAACCAACAUCUAGUAAUACUAGCAGACAUUAUUUUCGGAAUAUUCCUGGUUGAUCAAUGAAGCCAUUUGUGAUAAAAAUACUCAGUGGAUUUCUUAAAUUGUUUUCUGGUAAAUUCCUUAGAUACGCGUUUAGUAUCCAGUAGAAAUGUCGGAAAAAUAUAUGAGAGAAGAAACGUUUUUAGGGCCCAUAUAGCCGAGGCGGUAAACGCACGGGUAUUCAGCAUGACCAUGCUGAGGGUGACGGGUUCGAUUCCCGGUCGGUCCAGGAUCUUUUCGUAAAGGAAAUUUCCUUGACUUCCUUGGGCAUAGAGUAUCUUCGUGCCUGCCACACGAUAUACACAUGCAAAAUGGUCAUUGGCUGAGGAAGCUCUCAGUUAAUAACUGUGGAAGUGCUCAUAGAACACUAAGCUGAGAAGCAGGCUUUGUCCCAAUGAGGACGUAACGCCAAGAAGAGAGAGAGAGAAGAAACAUUUUUUCCUGAACAGAAUAACCGAUAAAUCGUCCAGAAGAGAAACUUAAAAAAAAGAACAAAUGGGUAACAAAACUGAAGUAUAUUUAGUUUUUUUUUUUACUUAUAAUAACAGCAGGCAGAAUUUGUGGAAACCUCUGAUUAUUGAUAGUGUUAUUUUAUUUAUUAUUUAUGAAUUUGCUGAGUACAUUCAUUGCAAAAUUUGUAUUUGGGAUCCUUGAACAUUUUUGCAAGUAUCCUUAAAUAAAAUUGUGCAUUUUUUUUUAAAUGGGGAGCUCGACUACUUGUGUAUCGAUUCUAAUUGAGACGCCGUAUAGCUAUGUUUUGCUUUGUUUUAAAGCAAUUAGCAUGCCUUAUUGUAUGAAAUAAGAUAGAGCCCCCAUUUAUUCCUCUUACAAGAAAUAAAGUCGUUCUGCAGUGAAGAUGUAACCCAAAUUAGCAUAGCUGCUUACUCCGUUCGACUUUCUAGUACAAAAGAGUCUUUGCAAUAGUGUUUUCUUUGGAUGCCCGAAAUUUACUGGGUAUGUAUUAUGAAACUUAUGACUGGUUUUUUUUUUAUGGCAGAACUAAUAAAGAGUUAAGAAACUUGUAACCUUCACAUCAUCAUACCGACCUUAGUUCGCGAGAGCUUGAUUGUUGCUCCUAAUGUCUACCGUUCAAAAUAAAAGUAUAGGUCAUCUUACCAUGUGAAAACCACUACACUACAACACACCACAACAGAACAUUUCAACUCUCUGAGUAUACCGAAUGCCUGAUACCAAUCUAGUCAUUUAACGCAGAUAUCUAUUGACCACACAAGGUAUUGGGAGACAUCUAUCUCCUACGGAGCUUGGGCUUGAGAGCGCAGAGGGUCAAGUACGAAGGAGGCUAUCUAUCUGCACAUGGAUAAGGAGGAGGAUGACAUCGACCGUAUCUCCAUAAUAUGGUUUUGUAAACCCUAACCAUAAUCGAUCCUCUCUUAACCUGAAAUCUCACGAUCUCUUCUCUAUCCAUUGCUCAUUACCGCCACCCAUGUAUGAUAUGAAUAUACGACCACGAAGAUCUACCUACGGCUACAUAUUGGCACUGCUCUGAAGUUGAAAUCAGAAGUCGGUUAAUUUCCAAGCAGGCAAGUCUAGCUAGCCAAAGUUUCUUUUAUUCGCCUGACCGGCCAUAAAAUCAAAGCAAAGCAAAGUGCUAGUAGUUGGUGGAUGCGGUUCAUUGUUGUGUGCUUUUAAAUGCCUAUCGGCAUAGAUCCGCUGAGGAAAUCAUGUUAAGGAGCAUGAGCAGUACGAUGGAAUAGUGCGUUAGUGAUUGCUGGAGAUCGGCCUUUCGUUUCGACCCAAAUUCAAUGGCUCCAUGAGUCAUAAUGGUGUGGUUCAGUGCCUUGGUGUACCACCAGGCCUGGAAGUGUUUUCUGCUGCGGAGUUACUGGCAUGGAGCCGGUGUGUCCUUCUGUCCGGACGGAGUCCUGCUUUCCUGUCGCCGUGGGAUACACUAGGACACUGACACCACACAACACUAGGCUUAAGUCCUAACGUAGUUUGUAAGUCAGCAAAAUAGACGUAAGUACAAAAACAUUUAAUAAACCCAUUUACUCAUUUCUUGCAUGUAAAUUUAUGCUUUUAUAUUGGUACGGAAUUGACUCGGAUAGAUUGUUUCAUGAUGGUUCCCCAUUCGAACCUUGGUCUUAGAGGGAAAGGUAAAUGAGUCAAGGUCACUACUUCCUCUUCGUACCAUCUUUGUCUCCAUCUCAUGCGACCUUUCUUUAGGGAGGUGACAAACUCUUGAAGAAAAGUGGAGCUCAUGGUAAUGUUUUUGGUGAAUAUCAAGCAAGAUUUAUUUUAAUAUUCUUACAGUAAUUCUAAAAUUUACAAAUUGAACAAAUGAUGCUUAUCUCCAAACAUCCCAGAUUUAUUGUAAAUGUUCUAAUCGAAGGGUCUCCAGUAAUCCUAGCGGUUAAGGCUAUGGAUAACCAAUCCGGAGAUGGGGGGUUCGAUUCCCGUUCCGGUCGGGAAAAUUUUCUCGACUCCCUGGGCAUAGUGUAUCAUUGUGCUUGCCUCACAAUAUACUAAUUCAUGCAAUGGCUGGCAAAAAAAAAGCCCUCCAAAUAAUAACUGUGGAAGUGCUCAAAGAACACUAAGUUGGAGAGAGGCAGGCUAAGUCUCAGUUGGGACGUGGAGCCAUAAAGAAGAAGAAGAAGAAGAAGUUCUAAUCGACGCAACAUAAAUCUUAGAUAUUUUUCGCGUUCAAAUAUCAGCUUUUCCAUAAAUAUUCCAGCCGAUCACAGUUGUUAUGCCGAAAGUUUACUGUGUUGCCAGUGCCCUUGUUCGGUGAAAAGUGUCAUCGUGCGAGAUUUCCCCAUUUUUUCGUGAAAACUUCCGUAACAAAAGAAACAGUAUGUUUGCUCCCGGAAUCCUGCUACUCGGACUAAAAAAAGAAACAUUGCCGUUUUAUGCAUGGAACGGAACGAGACACGUAUGAAGAGAUCGCCGGGGUGUUUUUAGAUCUUGGUGCCCUAACGACUUCUGUAUGUGGUGCAGCAGUUAAUGCAGUGAGAAAUAUCGAGCAACAAAAAGAGAACAACAUCAACAUCUCUCAAAGUUUUUUUUUAAUACUUUUUUGAUUUUUAAAACAAUUUGCCUUUACAAAUUUUCAGAAAUUCUUUCGAAAGCUGCACAUUUGUUUGAUCACUUGAGUCAGAAAUUUCUUUAGCUAUGUUCUGGAGGAUUAACAUUCUACACAUUAUUUUCUACUUUAUGCAUUCCACCAAAUUAUUUCAAGACCGCCAGCGUUUUAAGGUUAUCCAAUCAAAAUACAAAAUAUUUCAAUUCCUCGUGCAAAAACAAUCUUAUGUUUGUCUGAAUUCUUAUUUUUCUUCUGGCACUUGGGUGAAAAUAAUUUCUUUUCAUAAUAUCUCGGCUUUUCAUCUCUUCAUGGUGUCAUCCAGUUUAAGUGCAUGAAUAAUCGUGUUUGUGUCGAAAAAAAAAAUCCAGCUCGAAGUUAUCGCACAGAUGUAUUGAUAAUAUAUAGUAUCAAGGAUUUAAUAUUAUGACCUACAUAAUGGCUCUUGCGGAGCAUCUGUGAAAUAUUCAAGAAAAUUCUUCGAGAAAUCCUAUCGGGAUUUAUCUAAUGAUUCCUCAAGAUAAUCCUUCAGAAUUUCUCCAGGGUUUUCUUCAAAUAUUCAUCUACAAACACCUUUUUAGAUUCCAUCCGGGGCUCUUCUAGGAAUUCAUGCGGAGAUUUUUCCAACGUUCACUAUGUAGAUUCCUUCCAUUUUUUUUCCAAUUAUUUUUACUCGAGAUUCCUCUUGAAAUUCCUGCUGGAAUUCCCCUGAGAUUCCACUCAGGGAUUUCUCCAGAGAUUCCUUCCGGUAUUCUUUGUGGAAUCCCUAACAGAAGUUUUUCAGAUAUUCUUCCUGCAAUUCCUUCAGAGAUUCCUCCCGCGAUUCUCAAAAGGUAUUUCUGCCAUCUUAUUACGGGAACUUUCCCAGCAUUACUUCAAUGAUUCCUCCUUUGGCUUUCAGAUAAAUUUCAAAGCGAUGCAGUACAUUCAGGGGGUUUCAAGGGUUUUUUUUUCAAAGCGUUUCUAUGCGUUUCUGGAGUUUCUGGAGAUUUCAAAGAGGGUUUGAAAGGUUUUGAACGUUCUAAAAUGAAUAUUUGGAGGGUUUCAGU
Long non-coding RNA from Aedes albopictus (Asian tiger mosquito), 4386 nucleotides. RefSeq lists it as uncharacterized. Lineage: Eukaryota; Metazoa; Arthropoda; Insecta; Diptera; Culicidae. The transcript has 3 exons. The record is from RefSeq and is a predicted model, not a curated record.